Molecule: ribosomal RNA, 301 nt
Filed under: uncultured bacterium
Lineage: Bacteria
Description: partial 16S ribosomal RNA
Rfam family: Bacterial small subunit ribosomal RNA
Source: RNAcentral
CAGCCGCCACGGUAAUACGAAGGGUGCAAGCGUUACUCGGAAUUACUGGGCGUAAAGCGUGCGUAGGUGGUGGUUUAAGUCCGUUGUGAAAGCCCUGGGCUCAACCUGGGAAUUGCAGUGGAUACUGGAUCACUAGAGUGUGGUAGAGGAUAGUGGAAUUUCCGGUGCAGCAGUGAAAUGCGUAGAGAUCGGAAGGAACAUCUGUGGCGAAGGCGACUAUCUGGGCCAACACUGACACUGAGGCACGAAAGCGUGGGGAGCAAACAGGAUUAGAUACCCGCGUAGUCCCUGUCUCUUAUAC